CUUGUUCGGAAUCGAUAACUACGUCGGCGACCUUCUCCUUAGGCUCGCUAGAGACAGCUUUCACCGAGGGAAAGAGUCUUCUCUUCGGUGACAGUCGCCAGGUUCUGCUCCUCGCCGGGAACAUCCUCGUUCUCCAUCUUCCGUUGAAAAGAGUGUUUUCUUCGGUGAUAGUCGCCAGGUUCUGCUCCUCGCCGGGAACAUCCUCGUUCUUCUCCAUCUUCCGUUGUCGCAGCGACGACCAACGAGGCUAGACAAGGCAUUGCAUUGAAUCAAACUCUCAGCUCCGCUCGAUACGCCGGAGAUUCGCAUCGUAUCCAUCUCUGAUC
RNAcentral lists this long non-coding RNA (326 nucleotides) under Brassica napus (rape). RNAcentral describes it as "long non-coding RNA (BNAP_LNC005499)". Lineage: Eukaryota; Viridiplantae; Streptophyta; Magnoliopsida; Brassicales; Brassicaceae. The record is from RNAcentral.